Long non-coding RNA from Motacilla alba alba, 1433 nucleotides. RefSeq lists it as uncharacterized. The transcript has 3 exons. Lineage: Eukaryota; Metazoa; Chordata; Aves; Passeriformes; Motacillidae. The record is from RefSeq and is a predicted model, not a curated record.
GGCGCAGGCGCAGCCGCCCGCCCGCCUCCCGCCGCCACAGCCCGGAGGGUCCCGCGGCCCCGCCCCGCCGGAGCGAGCGCGGCCUCCGCAGGCACCAUCGGGAGGUCCAGGCGCCCGCCGGCCCCGCGGGCAGCGCUGUGGGCCGGCGGGGCCCGAGAGGGGAGCCGGGCGCCCCUCCCCCAGCCCGCCCCUCCCGAGGUCGUCUCACCUGGCCGGAUCGCGGGGGAAACGGAAGAAGGCCAGGAGGAUGUUGUUACACUGCAGCCCGAUGGAUGAUCCCACGCAGAAUCACUGAAUCAAUUAGAUUGGAAAAGAGUUCUGCAAUCAUUGAGUCCAGCCUAUGACGGAUCAUAACCUUGUCAGCUAGACCAGAGCACAUCCAGGAUUUCCUUAAACAUCUCCAGAGAUGGUGACUCUGUCACCUCCCUUGGCAGACCCUUCCAAUAUCUAAUCACCCUUUCUGUGAAAAAAAUUCCUCCUGAUGUACAACUUAAACCUUUCCCUGGCACAGAUUAAGACCCUGUCUGCUCAUCCUGUCGCUGGUUGCCUGGGGCUAAUCCCCACCUGGCUAAACCUCCUUUCUGGUAGUUGAAGAAGUAAUGGUAAAAGCCACAAGCUUUUCAAGUAAUGAAAUAAUUAGAUAGAGGUUGUACUGGUCAGAAGACAUUAUUAGGUAAAAAUAAAAUAAAGCUUAGAAAAAAAAACAGGAUACAGAAAACUGGAUGGUAGGAAGUAGGUAAGGGCUCCCUCACCAAAUAUGUCCUGUUUAAAAGUAGGUAGAGCACCUGUGAAAUUACAAAUGUUGAUGGCAAGUGAUGAUUGAUUCAGGUGUAAUACUGCUGUAGUUUUAAGAAUUCAGCUGUGAUACAUCCUUAAUGUAUCUUCACAUAAAAAGUCCUACUUUCCUGGAGAUGUGCUGGGCUCUAGGAACAAUAAUCCAAAGACACAAAAUGAUCAAAAGUAUAAGUUUUCAAAAGAGUGCAUAAAGGAAAAAUAACAAAAAACACCCUACUUAUUUAUUCCUUUUGAGCUUCAAAUAUUUUAAGCUUUCUUUGUUUAGUAUGAGCAGGAUUAAAGCUGUCUUUUACAUGAGGAAGUCUUGUCAUCAAGUGCUCCUGACCAAUCAUAAUAACAUCUGUUUAUUUGGCAUUAAUUGUUUCCCUGAAUUCAACUUUGGGUAUGUAGCUGAAGUAGUUUUGAGUAGUCAUUUAAGCUAAGGCUAAAGAUAACUGCUGCACCCCAUUGGUUUGACUUUACUUGGCAGUCACCAACAUUCAUGGACAGUGAACUGUAUAAAUGAGUUAAUGAGAUAAGUAAUCUUUUUAAAAUAAACCCAGGUUAGAUUUAGUCCAGAUAACUGCCAUCUGAUCUGUGCUGCAGGUCGCAUAAAUGUUCAUGCUGAUACAAGGAAACAAAAAAAAAAAAAAAAAAAA